CCCCUGGGGGCCCCAGAAACCCUUUGUGAACUUAUACCUUACUGUUGCCUCGGCGCAUGCUGGCCCCCCCUGGGGGUCCCUCGGAGACGAGGAGCAGGCACGCCGGCGGCCAAGUCAACUCUUGUUUUUACACUGAAACUCUGAGAAAAAAACACAAAUGAAUCAAAACUUUCAACAACGGAUCUCUUGGUUCUGGCAUCGAUGAAGAACGCAGCGAAAUGCGAUAAGUAAUGUGAAUUGCAGAAUUCAGUGAAUCAUCCAAUCUUUGAACGCACAUUGCGCCCUCUGGUAUUCCGGAUGGCAUGCCUGAUCGAGCGUCCUUUCGACCCUCAAGCAUUGCUUGGUGUUGGGUUUUUGCCAAAUUUACGGGGAGAACUUGAAGCUAUCUCCGUCCACCCACUUAUUCCCCCCCCGUUCCCAAGAGCCCCACCUCCGGGAGCUUACGAGACCCAACCACUUAGAGGUUCCAAUUUACCAAAGCUUUUGGGGCGUUUUCAGUCUUCGCCCAUAUUCUUUAUACUGUUUUCACACAACAAUCUUGUU
RNAcentral lists this ribosomal RNA (543 nucleotides) under fungal sp. CMU24. RNAcentral describes it as "eukaryotic LSU rRNA". The stretch from base 167 to 320 matches the Rfam family "5.8S ribosomal RNA". The record is from RNAcentral. Lineage: Eukaryota; Fungi.